ACCGAGGAUUGUAACUUGUACGCGAGUCAAGGGGUGGAAAACCCCAUGGCGAAAUGAAAUAAAGUUUGGUUAAUCGGCCGACAUGGGAUCCGCUUUUCGAAGCGGUGCAUCAUGGCCUGUCUCGUCUGCUUGCAGAUGGGCAGCGGUAGAGCGUACAGGUUCCGACUCGAAGGAUGGUGAACUAUGCCUGAGCAGGACAAAGUCGGAGGAAACUCUGAUGAAAGUCCAUAUCGGUUCUGACGUGCAAAUGGAUCGGUAGACUUGGGAACAGGGGCGAAAGAGACCAUCUAGUAGCUGAUUCCCUCCGAAGUUUCCCCCAGGAUAGCUGGAGUUCUUUGCGGUUAUAUCCGGAAAAGUGAAUGAUUAGAGAACUUGGGGUCGGAACGACCUCAACCCAUCCUCAAACUUUCAAUGGGUAUGUUGUCUCGGUAUCUUCGUUGAACUGUUGACACAAACGCGAGCUCCAAGUGGGCAAUAUUUGGUAAGCAGAGCUGGCGCUAUGGGAUGAACCAAACGUUGGGUUAAGGUGCCUAACUUAUCGCUCAUGAUACCCUGUAAAAUGAGUUGGUUGAUAUAGACAGCAGGACGGUGGCCGUGGAAGUCGUACUAGCUAAAGAGUGUGAAAAUUCACCUGCCGAAUCAACUAGCCCUGAAAAUGGAUGGCGCUCGAGCGAGAGACCUAUACCCAGCCGUUGCUGGCUUUUGCGUUGUCUAGCGCCUGACCGCAACGAGAAGGAGAGUCGUGGCGGUUGCGUCGAAGGCUUUGGGCGUAGGCUCAGCUGGAGCUUCCGUCACUGCAGAUCUCGGUGGUGGUAGCAAAUAUUUAGAUUCGAUCCUUGGAGACUGAAGUGGAGAAGGGUUCCACGUGAACAGUACUUGAAUGUGGGUUAGUCGAUCGGCGAUUGCGGCUUUCUAAGUCGCUUGCCCGAUAACGCAUUCGAACUUGGUUACGUCGCUCAGGAACUGAGCCAGAGUCCUUUAGUUAAGGAGCGGACUCCCUGGAACUCGUGUUCUCUGGGCGACCCACGAGAAACCAAGGGAGGCUUUUAAUCUGUGCUGCAUCGUACCAAUAUCCGCAUCACGUCUCCAAGGUGAGCAGCCUCUAGUC
This 1108-nucleotide non-coding RNA is filed under the name Ancylostoma ceylanicum. RNAcentral's name for it is "Eukaryotic large subunit ribosomal RNA". It matches the Rfam family "Eukaryotic large subunit ribosomal RNA", at positions 665 to 1888 of the family's 3401-position model. The record is from Rfam by way of RNAcentral. Lineage: Eukaryota; Metazoa; Nematoda; Chromadorea; Rhabditida; Ancylostomatidae.